RNAcentral lists this ribosomal RNA (472 nucleotides) under uncultured bacterium. RNAcentral's name for it is "bacterial SSU rRNA". It matches the Rfam family "Bacterial small subunit ribosomal RNA", at positions 328 to 792 of the family's 1533-position model. The record is from RNAcentral.
AGCCCAGACUCCUACGGGAGGCAGCAGUGGGGAAUAUUGCACAAUGGGCGCAAGCCUGAUGCAGCCAUGCCGCGUGUAUGAAGAAGGCCUUCGGGUUGUAAAGUACUUUCAGCGGGGAGGAAGGUGUUGAGGUUAAUAACCUCAGCAAUUGACGUUACCCGCAGAAGAAGCACCGGCUAACUCCGUGCCAGCAGCCGCGGUAAUACGGAGGGUGCAAGCGUUAAUCGGAAUUACUGGGCGUAAAGCGCACGCAGGCGGUCUGUCAAGUCGGAUGUGAAAUCCCCGGGCUCAACCUGGGAACUGCAUUCGAAACUGGCAGGCUGGAGUCUUGUAGAGGGGGGUAGAAUUCCAGGUGUAGCGGUGAAAUGCGUAGAGAUCUGGAGGAAUACCGGUGGCGAAGGCGACCCCCUGGACAAAGACUGACGCUCAGGUGCGAAAGCGUGGGGAGCAAACAGGAUUAGAUACCCCGGUA